AAAAGGAGUAAGAUUCAAUACAAUAUUAUUCUUUGGUGUCAUGAUGAGAGCUUAUUUACAUAAGAGAACAAUCAAUAGUUUCAGAAGCUUAAGCACGGCUACCUUAUAUGGACCAUGGAUUGUAUCUUAUAUGGGUGUGUAUAAGUACCGAGUGGAGAAAUAUACAAUUGUUUUUGUUGCUAUUUUUAAUCUAUCACAAAGAAUCCCUACCCACUCGCAUCACAGGUUCUUCAAACCAAAUGAAGGAUCUAUAUAUAUAAAGUUGUUUAAUAUAUAAUUCAAAGAUUUAAUGUAAUUAUAAGUAUUUAUUUCUGUAGCUUUUAUCUCUUCCAUAUGUUUUCCGUCUUUGACAAAAGCGGUCUACAUGGACAGUCAAACAAGAUAAUGAAAAGGUCAUAAACCUCAAAGCAGGUCACAGAAUGUAUUACACCAUCCGGAUAUACACAAUUAAGAUUCACGGUUAUGCUAGACUCUGGUGCAUAGAUACUCGUUACAAUGCCUAUACACCGUACUCCACAUUUAGCAAUUAGCAAUUUAUAUCCUAAUCCUAUUUCCUCAAGCCAAAGUUAGAACAAACACUUACCUUGAAAGCUCCAAAAUCAUUUCAAGCCUAUAGUAUAGCUUUACCCCUUUAAUUCACCGGAAAACCGCUUGAAUCUGAACCAAUUCUCUUAAAUAUCCAAAUGGAGUCUAUGUGCAAGUACAAGAGAAGAAGAAUUGUGCACGAGAAACUUUUACUAGCCUGAAACUGUAGAAACAAAAUAGGUUGCCUUUCGGUAUGGAUGGAAAGCUUU
This 794-nucleotide long non-coding RNA is filed under the name Nicotiana benthamiana. Its description in RNAcentral is "long non-coding RNA (NBEN_LNC036420)". The record is from RNAcentral. Lineage: Eukaryota; Viridiplantae; Streptophyta; Magnoliopsida; Solanales; Solanaceae.